UUGCAUUUUGGUACAUCUUCCUCAUGAUCUAUGGAGCUAUAACCCCAAGUUUCUCUACCGAUGCUUACAUGGUCUUCCUUGAAGCCCUAGCUCCUGCUCCUUCCUACUGGCUCACCACUCUCUUUGUGAUGAUCUUUGCUUUGACACCUUACUUCGUCUACAAGUCAGUGCAGAUGAGGUUUUUCCCUAAAUACCAUCAAAUGAUUCAGUGGAUUAGGUACGAGGGUCACUCUAAUGAUCCUGAGUUCGUUGAGAUGGUGAGGCAGAGGUCGAUUAGACCCACCACCGUUGGAUACACUGCGAGAAGAGCUGCUAGUGUACGGCGCUCCGGUCGGUUUCACGAUCAGCUCCAUAAGGAUCUUGUUGCUUUCUGAAAAGUAAUGAUGUGAUUUAUGUAAAUAUAUAUAUGUACAUCUCUAAUGUAGAGAUUAGGGCUUCUUUUAUUGAGAUUUCUUGUUAGAGAAGGCGUCUGUAAUUCACUUCACACACACGGCAACAUUUUGUACAUAAACUUUUCAUCUCUAAUGUAGAGAUCAAUGUUUUGUCUGAUUGUAUUUCUUGAUUGAAUAAUAUAUUAAAAUAAUUUCAAACGUGACGGUGGAAACUGAAAAGAAAAGGUAACAAGUUCCUAUAAAUAUCUUGUAGUUCUUCAUUUUUCGUAUUUUCUUCAGUAUUAAAUCUAGAUUAUUUUCGUCAACUAUUUAAUCUAGAUUUUACUAUUUUUAUCACUUUUAUUUUUUGCUUUUCUGAGAACACUGAUUUACCUUCAAAUGUUAAUAAGGUGGAAGAAAUUCACAUGUGGUGCACACAAAGAAAGGAAGAAAUUCACAUGUAUCCACAGUCCGGUACACUGCAUUUAGACCACAUAAAGAGAAAAAACAGCAAGAUUUUGGAAUUUUCAACUUCAGACAAAGACAUAAAGAGAAGGAUCCAGCGAGGUUCGGUGAGAUAAUUUUUUAUUCUUUGUUCACAUUUGUCUUGUGCUAUACCAAGAAGGUGUGCAAAACAUUCUCUUCAGCUGGAAAAGGAUCAUAGGAUGGAUGUUCAAUGGAUUCAUAAGUGCCCUAGCCAUUUUCUUCAUCUGCAAGGAAUCUCUAAAACACCAGCUAUUCGACCCAAACGGCAAAACCGCUGGCCGGGAAAUCAUGGGGGGAUUAAUGUACACUUGUGUUGUGUGGGUGGUCAAUCUCCAAAUGGCUUUAUCAAUAAGUUACUUCACAUGGGUCCAACACAUUGUGAUUUGGGGAUCAAUUGCAUUUUGGUACAUCUUCCUCAUGAUCUAUGGAGCUAUAACCCCAAGUUUCUCUACCGAUGCUUACAUGGUCUUCCUUGAAGCCCUAGCUCCUGCUCCUUCCUACUGGCUCACCACUCUCUUUGUGAUGAUCUUUGCUUUGACACCUUACUUCGUCUACAAGUCAGUGCAGAUGAGGUUUUUCCCUAAAUACCAUCAAAUGAUUCAGUGGAUUAGGUACGAGGGUCACUCUAAUGAUCCUGAGUUCGUUGAGAUGGUGAGGCAGAGGUCGAUUAGACCCACCACCGUUGGAUA
This 1546-nucleotide long non-coding RNA is filed under the name Brassica napus (rape). RNAcentral's name for it is "long non-coding RNA (BNAP_LNC001668)". Lineage: Eukaryota; Viridiplantae; Streptophyta; Magnoliopsida; Brassicales; Brassicaceae. The record is from RNAcentral.